UAGUUAGUGGCGUAAGGGUUAGUAAUGAAUAGGUAACGUACCCUGUGCUUCGGGAUAGCGUCGUUCGCCUUCGGGCGAACUACCGAAAGGGGCGGUAAUACCGGAUAAUAUCAUUUGUUGACGGACAAAUGAUCAAAGAUUUAUCGGCGUAGGAGCGGCCUAUUUCCUAUCAGCUUGUUGGUGAGGUAAUGGCUCACCAAGGCAUUGACGGGUAGCGGGACUGAGAGGUUGACCCGCAACAUCGGGACUGAGACACUGCCCGGACCUCCACGGAGGGCUGCAGUAACGAAUAUUGCGCAAUGGGCGUAAGCCUGACGCAGCGACGCCGCGUGCGGGAGGAAGUCCCUCGGGAUGUAAACCGCUGUCAGGGGUAAGAAAGUUCACUUCGGUGGAUUGAUCUAACCCGGAGGAAGUCACGGCUAACUUCGUGCCAGCAGCCGCGGUAAGACGAAGGUGGCUAGCGUUGUUCGGUGUUACUGGGCUUAAAGCGUGUGUAGGCGGAAGGGUAAGCGUCUUGUGAAAUGCCUCGGCUUAACCGAGGAAUCGCUGGGCGAACUGCUUUUCUUGAGGCAAGUAGGGGUGCAUGGAACUCUUGGUGGAGCGGUGGAAUGCGUAGAUAUCAAGAGGAACGCCAACGGAGAAAUCAGUGCACUGGGCUUGACCUGACGCUGAGACACGAAAGCGUGGGGAGCGAACGGGAUUAGAUACCCCGGUAGUCCACGCCGUAAACGAUG
This 734-nucleotide ribosomal RNA is filed under the name uncultured bacterium. Its description in RNAcentral is "bacterial SSU rRNA". It matches the Rfam family "Bacterial small subunit ribosomal RNA", at positions 89 to 811 of the family's 1533-position model. The record is from RNAcentral.